Molecule: ribosomal RNA, 2642 nt
Rfam family: Bacterial large subunit ribosomal RNA
CAAUUAAGCGCACACGGUGGAUGCCUAGGCAGUCAGAGGCGAUGAAAGACGUGGUAGCCUGCGAUAAGGUUCGGUGAGGUGGCAACAACCUGUGACCCGGACAUUUCUGAAUGGGGAAACCCACUGGCCAUAAGGUCAGUAUCUUACACUGAAUACAUAGGUGUAAGAGGCGAACCAGGGGAACUGAAACAUCUAAGUACCCUGAGGAAAAGAAAUCAACCGAGAUUCCCCUAGUAGCGGCGAGCGAACGGGGACCAGCCCUUAAGCAUGUGAAUGAUUAGGCGAACAGAUUGGGAAGUCUGGCCGUAGCGGGUGAUAGCCCCGUAGUCGAAAAUCUGAUCAUGUGAAAUCGAGUAGGUCGGGGCACGAGAAACCUUGACUGAAGACGGGGGGACCAUCCUCCAAGGCUAAAUACUCCUGACUGACCGAUAGUGAACCAGUACCGUGAGGGAAAGGCGAAAAGAACCCCGGAGAGGGGAGUGAAAUAGAUCCUGAAACCGUGUGCGUACAAGCAGUAGGAGCAGACUUGUUCUGUGACUGCGUACCUUUUGUAUAAUGGGUCAGCGACUUAUAUUCAGUGGCGAGGUUAACCGUAUAGGGGAGCCGUAGGGAAACCGAGUCUUAACUGGGCGACACAGUCGCUGGAUAUAGACCCGAAACCGAGCGAUCUAUCCAUGAGCAGGGUGAAGGUUGAGUAACAUCAACUGGAGGCCCGAACCAGGAUCUGUUGAAAAAGAUUUGGAUGACUUGUGGAUCGGAGUGAAAGGCUAAUCAAGCUCGGAGAUAGCUGGUUCUCCUCGAAAGCUAUUUAGGUAGCGCCUCACGUAUUACCGCCGGGGGUANAGCACUGUUUCGGCUAGGGGGUCAUCCCGACUUACCAACCCGAGGCAAACUCCGAAUACCGGUGAGUAGAGCGUGGGAGACACACGGCGGGUGCUAACGUCCGUCGUGAAAAGGGAAACAACCCAGACCGUCAGCUAAGGUCCCGAAAUCCUGGUUAAGUGGGAAACGAUGUGGGAAGGCUCAGACAGCUAGGAGGUUGGCUUAGAAGCAGCCAUCCUUUAAAGAAAGCGUAAUAGCUCACUAGUCGAGUCGGCCUGCGCGGAAGAUGUAACGGGGCUAAACCAGGUACCGAAGCUACGGGUGAGUUCAUAUUUCGAUAUGGAUUCGCGGUAGAGGAGCGUCGUGUAAGCCAAUGAAGGUGAAUUGAGAAGUUCGCUGGAGGUAUCACGAGUGCGAAUGCUGACAUGAGUAACGAUAAAGGGAGUGAAAAACUCCCUCGCCGGAAGACCAAGGGUUUCUGUUCGACGCUAAUCGGAGCAGAGUGAGUCGGCCCCUAAGGCGAGGCCGAAAGGCGUAGUCGAUGGGAAACGGGUCAAUAUUCCCGUACCGGACAUGGUUGCGAUGGGGGGACGAAGAAGGCUAGGUGAGCCAGGCGUUGGUUGUCCUGGUGAAAGUGAGUAGGCUUGGAUCUUAGGUAAAUCCGGGAUCCUUCAAGGCCGAGACACGAGAUGAACUGACCACGGUCAGGAAGUCACUGAUGCCACGCUUCCAGGAAAAGCCUCUAAGCUUCAGAUCAUGUGCGACCGUACCCCAAACCGACACAGGUGGUCAGGGUGAGAAUCCCAAGGCGCUUGAGAGAACUCGGGUGAAGGAACUAGGCAAAAUGGUGCCGUAACUUCGGGAGAAGGCACGCCGGCGUAGGGUGAUGAGACUUGCUCUCUAAGCCCGAACCGGUCGAAGAUACCAGGUGGCUGCAACUGUUUAUUAAAAACACAGCACUCUGCUAACGCGCAAGCGGACGUAUAGGGUGUGACGCCUGCCCGGUGCCGGAAGGUUAAAUGAUGGUGUUAGCCGCAAGGCGAAGCUCUUGAUUGAAGCCCCGGUAAACGGCGGCCGUAACUAUAACGGUCCUAAGGUAGCGAAAUUCCUUGUCGGGUAAGUUCCGACCUGCACGAAUGGCGUAAUGAUGGCCACGCUGUCUCCACCCGAGACUCAGUGAAAUUGAAAUCGCCGUGAAGAUGCGGUGUACCCGCGGCUAGACGGAAAGACCCCGUGAACCUUUACUAUAGCUUCACACUGGACGCUGAUGUUGCCUGUGUAGGAUAGCUGGGAGGCUUUGAAACUCGGACGCCAGUUCGGGCGGAGCCAACCUUGAAAUACCAGCCUGGCAUCAUUGGCGUUCUCACUCAGGUCCGUUAUCCGGAUCGAGGACAGUGUGUGGUGGGUAGUUUGACUGGGGCGGUCUCCUCCUAAAGAGUAACGGAGGAGCACGAAGGUACCCUCAGCACGGUCGGACAUCGUGCAUUGAGUGCAAGAGCAUAAGGGUGCUUGACUGCGAGACAGACACGUCGAGCAGGUGCGAAAGCAGGUUCUAGUGAUCCGGUGGUUCUGUAUGGAAGGGCCAUCGCUCAACGGAUAAAAGGUACUCCGGGGAUAACAGGCUGAUACCGCCCAAGAGUUCACAUCGACGGCGGUGUUUGGCACCUCGAUGUCGGCUCAUCACAUCCUGGGGCUGAAGUCGGUCCCAAGGGUAUGGCUGUUCGCCAUUUAAAGUGGUACGCGAGCUGGGUUUAGAACGUCGUGAGACAGUUCGGUCCCUAUCUGCCGUGGGCGUUGGAUGUUUGAGAAGGGCUGCUCCU